Molecule: transfer RNA, 72 nt
Filed under: Camelus ferus (Wild Bactrian camel)
Lineage: Eukaryota; Metazoa; Chordata; Mammalia; Artiodactyla; Camelidae
Rfam family: tRNA
About the family: Transfer RNA (tRNA) molecules are approximately 80 nucleotides in length. Their secondary structure includes four short double-helical elements and three loops (D, anti-codon, and T loops).
Source: Rfam by way of RNAcentral
GUGGGUAUGGCUCGGUAGUAGAGCGCACGCUUAGCAUGCACGAGGUCCUGGGUUCAAUUCCCGGUACCUCCA